Microtus oregoni (creeping vole) is the source of this 1719-nucleotide long non-coding RNA. RefSeq lists it as uncharacterized. The transcript is spliced from 3 exons. Lineage: Eukaryota; Metazoa; Chordata; Mammalia; Rodentia; Cricetidae. The record is from RefSeq and is a predicted model, not a curated record.
GUGAGCCACCAUGGGGUUGCCGGGACUCGAACUCAGGACCUUUGGAAGAGCAGGCAAUGCUCUAACCACUGAGCCAUCUCUCUCCAGCCCCCUCCCCUUGCAUUUUUGUAUUAUGGAGUUUUUAUUUCCUCACUUUGAGGCCGACUUGCUGGUGAUCACAACAGCACUCGGGAGGCAGAGGCAGGCGGAUCUCUGUGAGUUCGAGGCCAGCCUGGUCUACAAAGGGAGUUCCAGGACAGGCUCCAAAGCUACAGAGAAACCCUGUCUCAAAAACACAAAAAACCAAAAAAACAAAAAAAAAAAGAAUGAGAAUGUAAAAAUGUGACUUUGCAGGGUUCGAGCCACUCGGGAAAUUAAAAGUCGAUGUUGAUAGGAAGAAGUCAGAGUCAGAGAAAAGUAAUGGAGCUGGAGACAUAUGCUGGAACUUUACAAGGGAAGACAAUAUACAGAUGAAUGGAGAUGAAUUAAUUUAUGAUUUAGCCAUAAAUACGCUUAAGCUAUUGUCCAAUGCGUAUUCCAGAAGCUUUAUCUGGUGAUGGAUGAAGAUAGAGACAGAGACCCACACUGGAGCACCGGACUGAGCUCCCAAGGUCCCAAUGUGGAGCAGAAGGAUUGAGAAGAUAAGUUACAAGUCAGAAGGAAUGAGAAGGGUAAGGCCUGCCAGAGUCAUGUUCACCAUCCUGAAGCUGACCUUUUAGUCAGGACAAGAACUCAAAGUAGAAUUUAAAGACAGGAAAUAAAGCAGAGGCAAUGGAUGAAUACUGCUUAAUGACUUCCUUUCUAUGGUUUGUUCAUUAUAUUUUCUUGUAUAAGAUCAUUGUCCCAGGGUUGUUGUGGCCCUUAUUGGACUGCCCCCUUAAGCAAAUUUUUGACUCAAAAAUGUUCAGCAAAGAAAUGUUCAAAAGGAAGAUUCCCUCUUUGCCGAUUUAUCUAAAUUUGUAACAAGCCAGGGGAAUAUUACCCUGCCUUUAAGUUGCCACUGAGCCCUGAGACAUGGAAAUGCCCAUGACCAUGACUCAGCAUUAGAAGCUAAACUAUACAGCAAAGUUAACCACCAAGCAAUUCUUUUGUACUUUUCCACCAGCUCACUGUUCAUGCUCCCCCCCCCCAAAAAAAAACUGUAAAAGCCCUUCCCUCUCUUCCUUCUGCCUAGACCUCUGUGGUUACUUUGGUUCCUGGCCAGAGGUAGCCUCCUUUUGCUGUCUCUCUUCAAUAAAUUGUUUGAGUAGGAUUUGUUACAUGUUAUGAAUUUACAGUAUUCCUUGGCUCCUGGCUACCACGAUGGUCUUGUGCCAGCAAACUCCGAAUAAGCAUACUGAAGAAAUGUUAUUUUCUCUCACCCAGAAACAAUAAAAAGUGCCUGUAAUUUCUAGGAUGAAGAGUAGGAUUUCACUUCUUCCUUGUUGAGAUUCUGUCUGGUGUCAGAUUUUCAGGUCUGAUUCAUAAUUUCAUAGUAUUUAUAAUUCAUGUAUACAUCUUUCAUGCUGUAUCUGGGAAAUGUUAUUUCAUUGAAGUUACACUCUUUUGAUUCUUACUAUUUUUCUGGCUCCUCUUUCUCAUAUAACCAAGCCUUGAUGUGAGGAUGUGAUAGGGACAUUCUACCAAGGAUGGAAAACAACUAAGUCUCACAAUAUCUCUGUCCUGUAAUAUGGCCACUUGUCUCAAGCUUCUGAUGCCCUUUCAAGAUGACUGAUGUGUUUGAAUUAUGAGCCAAAAUAA